Python bivittatus (Burmese python) is the source of this 5324-nucleotide non-coding RNA. The record is from RefSeq and is a predicted model, not a curated record. NCBI's taxonomy places the organism in Eukaryota, Metazoa, Chordata, Lepidosauria, Squamata, Pythonidae.
GUUAGAUGACUUACGGUUUCUGCUUUGGAUCACUAUCAUGAAUUUAACAUUAAACAAUAGCAUCAAACACUAAUUGAGUGCAUGUCAAGUCUACUUUUACUCCUCUUUCACUCCAAAAUGUUAACUUCAUUUAUGUAUGUAUGAACUUGGAGAUUACAAUUUAAGUUAAUUGCAAAUUCCAUAUAGAUUUAACUGAGUAAAAGAUAUUUUUGACUUCACAUAUUCAAGUAUCUACUGUAUUUGGUGCCCACAUGUAGUCUGCAUGUAUGAACUUAAGUACUGUGAUUGGCAACUUUUUCACUGUAUGCAUAUGCAAGCCUAAUUGGUUACACCUGGAUUUAUUUGCAUACAGCUGGCUAUUAAGUGACAGUCUGUAUACUUCAGUUGAUAUUGUGGACAUCUACGAAUCCAUCCGUGAACGAAGGCGUCACGACAGUGAAAGAUCUACUUGUAGCACCUUGGAACGGAACGACAUAGAAGCAGUUGAGACCCUUGUUUGUAUGAGCUCCUGGGGUCAAAGAUCACAGAAGGGUGACCCAUUAAAAAUAAGACCUCUUACACCUGUUUCAGAUUCUGGGGAUUUUGCAGUGCAGAAUGAACCCACAUCUGAGAUGCCCAAGGAUUAUAACUUUUUAUCCACACUGUGCAUGACACCACCAUACAGUCCAGAUUUUGUUGAGCCUUCCACGGGAGCACCGCCUUCCUCUCAAGCUACUUAUUCAAAAUCUAGGGCAAUCAAGGCAAAUGUACCUGCCAGCUUAGUCACUCCUCCAGGUUGUACUCUUGCUGCAACCCAGCCAUCUGUUCUGAACAUGGAGAAGCAAUCCAGCCAGAUGCCAGCAAGGACCGAGCAACCUGUUCCUCUGCUUUGCAGAGCCAUGGCAACUAGUGUGAUCCGUCACACAGGCAACAGUUCUGGUUACUCUCGCAUUCCUGGUGUGCAAGUGAAACCAGAAGUUUCAUUGGGCAACGGUGGGUCUGCAGACUGGCUGGAGGCCCAAGGCCAGCAACAUUCCAGAGCUUCGCGGGAUUGCUAUAUUGCAGAGAACUUAACUUGUGACACUUCACUUGCACACAAAUCUUCCUUGCACGACUCAGGUUGCUCUAGAACUGCCAAUAAAGGAUGUGAAAUUUCAAGGCUUGCUUUGCAGCAGGCUGUUUACCCAAAGAAUUGUGAGAAUGAUAUGCAGCAAAAGACCAGCCCCCUUCUACCCUCCCCUGUCUCAAAUCCACAGGUGAUCUGUCAAAUGAUCCCCUUGGAUGGACCAAGAGGUAUGGUCCCUGCCCUAUUAAAACCUUCUACUCAAACUGCAGCAACAGUCAAACCUAUCUUACCCCACACAGCUCCAGUUUCUCAGCCUGUCCUGAUGGGACCUUCCAUGCCUCAGGGGACUGUUAUGUUGGUUCUUCCACAGGCAGCUGUCGCCCAGGCACCUCCGUGCCAACAAACUGUGAUGUCUGUGGGGAACACCAAGUUACUGCCUUUGGCUCCUGCUCCAGUUUUUAUUGCCUCCGGCCAGAGCAGUACACCAUUAAUAGACUUUUCGCGGAGGAGGAAUUAUGUUUGCAACUUUCCUGGCUGCAGGAAAACGUAUUUCAAAAGCUCUCACCUCAAAGCCCAUCUGCGUACUCAUACUGGAGAAAAACCUUUCACCUGUAGCUGGGAAGGUUGCGAUAAAAAAUUUGCCCGUUCUGAUGAGCUUUCUCGCCACCGCAGAACCCAUACAGGGGAGAAGAAGUUUGCCUGUCCAGUCUGCGACCGCCGUUUUAUGCGUAGCGAUCACCUGACAAAACAUGCCCGUCGUCACAUGACCAAGAAGGUGCCCAGCUGGCAGACAGAAGUUGGCAAACUGAACAGAAUUGCAGCUCUAGAGAAACCAAGGAAUGAGAGUGCUCUGAGCGUGCUUCUACCAAUGUUAUCACCAGGGUAGUGGGCCAGCUUGUCAAAACAUUUUGUCACGAACUUGAGGGUUCCCAAGAUUACAGCUUUCACUGAUUUUUUAACUUAAUUUCCACAAGUUAUGCUUUUCUAUAGGGGAGGGUGGGAAAGUAUUUUCCUCUUUUUUCUACCCUCUCUCCCUGCUUCAGUGUUUGGCCUACUUAAUAUUACAUUACAUUUCUUUUCUUUUUUUUUCUUCCAGAGUUUUGGGGAGAAUCACCAGCACUUCAGAAAAGGAGAAUAUAUUUUGGGGUGGGGGGGUAGAAUAUUAGUAAUGGACUAUUCUUUGAAAAUUUAUCUUUACUUGAGUAAGAAUAAUUAAUAGAAAGUGAAGCAGGCUGACUUUGUUGUUUUCAGUUUUAUACUCGUUUUCUGUAUACUUUGUACAGAUGCAGCUGCUACAGCCUGAUCUUGCAUUUAUCCUCUGAAAGCAGUGAUAUGGGAGAUUGAAACUACCUCUCAGAAACUGUUCUUCUUGGUGAACACAGUCCAAAGUGUUUAUCAGCUUGGGUCUGAACCCUGACUUCAUACCUGAGGCACUCUGCUUUAGGAUUGCCUGCCAUGUCAUAGUUGCAGUUUAGAGCACUCUCUCCCAUACCUGGAGAUAGAUGCCUAUAGAUUGUAUUUAAAGUUGGCUUAUUCAGCUAGCUCAGGACUUACUUAGACGGGACGCCAACCAUGUGCAUCAAAGCUGAAAAGGCCUGGCCUGUGUAGGAACUCCAUAUUGAAAUGGCACUGAAUUCGUUUCCCUUGUUAUUCCAAGCUGCCCAAGGCACUGUUCCAUGUAUGUGCAGACAAAACCUGUUGGCCUGCAGAUGGAACCGUGCAUAUGACUAUCAGCUAUUUAGAUUAAUAUUUAUUAAUCAACUCACAUCAAAAUCAAAUAUUGAAUACAAAAUUUCCGGACACCAGUUACAUCACAGUUGCUGUCUUGAACAGUAUAAGCAUGAUGAUAGUGGUUACUAAAGUAAAGUUUGGACAUACUAUGAAAGAAGGAGUGACUUGUGAUAAUGCCUACUCCUUAAUAAUUGUAAUUAUUAAUAAUUGAGAAGUAGCACCUUAAUUUUAUUUUAGUAUAGCUAACUUAACAGAAUUGAGGGCCACAUCUCAUCAGCAAUAUAAAUCUGUCAGGAACUUCCAUUUCCAUAAAAGGGGGAGUUAAGUGCAUCCUUAAGUCUGCAUUUUUAAAUUUAAUAAGCACUAGGUACAUAACUUUGUUUGGAUUAUGUCCUUGAUGUAUCCAUAAUAAAAGCAAGAAGGCCAAAGUUAAAAAUGUACUCCUGCUUGCACUAUUUUUUUGUUUAUCAUCUAAAGCAGGGUUGAGGAGCCCUCAUCUAAAGAAACUAUUGAGACUUCUCAGCACCCAAUUGUUGAUUGAUCAAGAAUUUUCACAUGAGCCUUUCUUGGAAGAUGAGCAGAGCAAGUGAGGCUGUUUGAUGUGCAGUAUUCAGUCAGGUGGAUUUCUUGAUCAAAUCCAAUAUUGGCAAUUGUGCAAUGGAACUUUCCCUUCCUCUCUGCCCCUGACACUCCCCAAAAUCUGUUCUAGAGAGUUCAGGGCAAGGUUGGGUUUGGUGAGAUAAUCUGCUUCACUGAAAGAUGCUAUUCUGGGGGUGUGGGGAAGACAGGGAGGAUUCAACUGCAUGUCUUGCACUGAAGUCUCUUUUGAGUUGCAAAAGAGUUGCAGUACUUGUGCUUUUAAAAAGAGGGGGAUGGGUAUCACUUGUAGGCUCUGUCAAAGUAAUAAACAUAGACUUACUUGGAAGUGAAAAUUCUGUAUUUUAAAGCUGCCUUAAAAGUUCUUAGCCUUGGAGCAAAAAUGCUUUAUUUUUUAAAAAAAACUUUCCUUCUUGUAUCUUGAUCUAUAGCACGUUGGAUGAGUAACUGAAAUAAUAGAUAAUUGUUACUUGUCUUCUGGGGGGCACUGUGGGAAAUCAGAAUUAUUGGUCAUGAGAUACCAUCUCUGAUGACAUGCUAAAUUUUGCAUCUCAAGCUGAGAAAAUUGUUUCUGAUGAGUCUAUGAAAGCAUGAUAUACAUGUAUGUAGUAUAUCUGACAUAUCAUUACUGUCUGAAACUAGAUAGAUCUUUUAAAUUUUCUAUAUCCAUUGGUUAUUUUUGUUAAGCCAAGCUUGCAAUACUUUUAUUUAUUCUGAAGCUAUCUGAAAUAUUUCCAUGGAUGAUAUGAAUUUGCUGGAAUGAGUGUUUUAAAAACUGCAUCUGCUAUAUGUUCCAGAAUAACACCUAGGUAAUGCUAAUGUUUGGUCAUUUGUUUUAUUAACUUUAUUUUGUACCUGUAGUGGCAGCCUGAGAAAAUCAGGAGGUUACAAUUUUCCUAUCACUUCAACCUGGGGAGCAAUGCAUUUUAAAAGAGCAUGACAUCUGCCAGUUUGGUGGAGGGGGCGUAGGCAAAAUUACAUGAUUUGAAAAUCUGCCGGACUGUCUUUGUCAUGAUGCCCAUUCUAAGCAUUUAUCUGCCUAUCUGAAUUUGGAGGGACUAGUGUUCAUGAAGCAAACCAUAAGAAUCAGGCAUUUCUUUCCCUUAGAACAUAGCAGCACUUGGAUAUAUGAAUUAAGUAUUAUCUUCAGUUAAUGAAGAUAUUUCAUUUUGGCUUACACUCCCAAAUCAAGUGUAAGUUGGCUUCCUUUGAAAUGAGGUUAAACCAGGUUAUCAUGUAUAUGCAGUCCUCAGCCACGUAUGAUAGUUUGGUGCUUGAAAGCAUUUGUAUUCUUUCAAUUUGAACUAGAUAGAUGCUAGAACAGAAAGCUGGCUAGCAGGGGAUGGGUCAUAGUGACUGGGCUGCAUCUGAUUGGUCACUAGAUAUGCAAGUAGAUGAAUGUUUUAAAAAGCUGCACCUCAAUGUUUGUGUGUAUAUGUGUGUGUGUGUCUGUGUGAGUGUGUGUGUGUAUAUAUUGUGGGCAUGUCGGUGUGUGUAUAAACACACACAUACAUGCAUGUGUGUGUAUGUUUUCUUCUGUUACAUACCUUGCCAUAUUUUGAGUUUCUGAAGGAAAUCGAUAAAUGUGCAGAUCACAUAGUUGUUUCUUUCCCCCCCCCAAUUUAUGCUUAAUUAACAGAAGAGAAACAAAUAUUACCCUUGUUCAUUUUUAAAGCUUGUGAGAAAUGUAAGUGGCAUAAAUUCAGUUCAUAUAACCAGACUGCAACAGUUUGAUUAGUUUGAAACCACUUUUUUUUGGCCUCUUUUCUACAGUGCACAGGCAGGAACCCACUUUUCCCUGAUGUAAUUCCACUGAGAAGUUGACAGCCUUUCCAAACAAUUUUCUGACCUAAUUAUUGGCUAUUUGGCUAAAGAUUAUGGGAACUUUGGUUCAAUGUAGUAAAAUAUUGUGCCUAAUAUUUUAUAUGAAUAAACCUUAUUUGUUACUUUC